CUUCAAGUCAGCACACUCCUGGCAACCCACGAGCUUGCCAUACUCCCCAGGAAAGCAGGCUUACAAUAGAUGCCAAAUCUUCACAAGAAAUGCCCAAGCCUGCAGAGAGAAUCAGAAAAUGAAGGGCUUUGCAUAAGUGAGCUUUAAACCUCUGCUGUUCAACUGUCCUCCUUCCUUCCGUUCCUCAAACACUCAAAGGUGUAGUCUUAGGGGAAAGGAUGGCAGAGUGAGGAAUAGAAAGCAAGGAAAGCCAGCUCCUAUGGAGAUGAAUGUUAUCUCAUGGAACAUGUCACCAAUGCCCAAGGAAUUCACCAGACCUCAGUGGUUGAACAUCAAACCACAGGCCCCAGCAUUCCCUCUGACAUCCUACCCCCAGAGUUCAUUAAAAGGUUUCCAUAAGGAAGCAGCCUUACUUACUGCUGGGGGAAGAUCAGCUUGAGAGACAAUGGAACAAACAUACUUGUUCCCAAAGGGUUUGGAGAACAGUGGCAGCAGGGAGUGAGUGGGAAAGCAAGUAGAGGUCAGAGGUCAUGGGCAGAGGUUAUCAAGCAACUUCUAAAUUGACUCUGAUUAAGUCUAAAGUGUUUCUGAAGGCUUAUACAGAGGAGUGGACUUAUGUUUAGUGAUUGGUAUGCUCACAUGUUUAGCUCUGAAUUCUCUUUCCAAGACUUACUGGUUG
RNAcentral lists this long non-coding RNA (679 nucleotides) under Mus musculus (house mouse). Its description in RNAcentral is "predicted gene, 47460". Lineage: Eukaryota; Metazoa; Chordata; Mammalia; Rodentia; Muridae. The record is from RNAcentral.